GACGAACGCUGGCGGCGUGCUUAAUACAUGCAAGUCGAACGGAGCCUAGCCGGUAGUUUACUACAGGCGAAAGCUUAGUGGCGGACGGGUGAGUAACGCGUGGGCAAUCUGCCCCUAAGUCCGGGAUAACAGAGCGAAAGUUCUGCUAAGACCGGAUACUCUUCCUUGGUCGCAUGGCGGAGGAAGGAAAGGAGACGCUUAGGGAUGAGCCCGCGUCCCAUUAGCUAGUUGGUGAGGUAACGGCCCGACCAAGGCGACGAUGGGUAGCCGGCCUGAGAGGGUGGACGGCCACACUGGGACUGAGACACGGCCCAGACUCCUACGGGAGGCAGCAGUAGGGAAUUUUCCGCAAUGGGGGAAACCCUGACGGAGCAACGUCGCGUGAGGGAAGAAGGUCUUCGGAUCGUAAACCUUUGUCAUCGAGGACGAAAACUGACGGUACUCGAGGAGGAAGCCCCGGCUAACUACGUG
RNAcentral lists this ribosomal RNA (471 nucleotides) under uncultured bacterium. RNAcentral describes it as "bacterial SSU rRNA". It matches the Rfam family "Bacterial small subunit ribosomal RNA", at positions 28 to 507 of the family's 1533-position model. The record is from RNAcentral.